GAAUGUGAGGGUGAUCUGGCUGCAACAUCAGUUCCCCACUAAUUGCCAGGGUUGAUUCGGCUGAUCUGGCUGGCUAGGCAGAGUGUCCCCUUCCCUCCCUCACCAUACCAAGUGCAUCCCUCCUGAAGCUGCUCCCUCAGUGGAAGAGGAUGACCUUCCCUGACAGAGGAGGACCAUUCUUCAGUUAAGGGCAUAGGAGUACACAGUCUAAAGUAAGUAUAAAUAUGCAGUCUAAAAUAAGUAUAAACAGAAAGUAAUAAGUCAUUGGCAAAAAAAGUGAGAAAUGUGCAUUAAAAUGACAUACAACAUGACCACAUUUGAGAAU
RNAcentral lists this small nuclear RNA (325 nucleotides) under Prolemur simus (greater bamboo lemur). RNAcentral describes it as "7SK RNA (ENSPSMG00000007262.1)". It matches the Rfam family "7SK RNA". Rfam says of the family: 7SK was discovered as an abundant small nuclear RNA in the mid-70s but a possible function has only recently been suggested. Two independent studies have found that 7SK RNA binds the CDK9/cyclin T complex (known as elongation factor P-TEFb). P-TEFb activates transcription by phosphorylating the C-terminal domain of RNA polymerase II. Lineage: Eukaryota; Metazoa; Chordata; Mammalia; Primates; Lemuridae. The record is from Rfam by way of RNAcentral.